This 499-nucleotide ribosomal RNA is filed under the name uncultured bacterium. Its description in RNAcentral is "partial 16S ribosomal RNA". It matches the Rfam family "Bacterial small subunit ribosomal RNA", at positions 899 to 1397 of the family's 1533-position model. The record is from RNAcentral.
ACUCAAAUGAAUUGACGGGGACCCGCACAAGCGGUGGAGCAUGUGGUUUAAUUCGAAGCAACGCGAAGAACCUUACCAGGUCUUGACAUCCUCUGACAAUCCUAGAGAUAGGACUUUCCCCUUCGGGGGACAGAGUGACAGGUGGUGCAUGGUUGUCGUCAGCUCGUGUCGUGAGAUGUUGGGUUAAGUCCCGCAACGAGCGCAACCCUUGUCCUUAGUUGCCAGCAUUCAGUUGGGCACUCUAAGGAGACUGCCGGUGACAAACCGGAGGAAGGUGGGGAUGACGUCAAAUCAUCAUGCCCCUUAUGACCUGGGCUACACACGUGCUACAAUGGAUGGUACAAAGGGUUGCGAGACCGCGAGGUUUAGCCAAUCCCAUAAAACCAUUCUCAGUUCGGAUUGUAGGCUGCAACUCGCCUACAUGAAGCCGGAAUCGCUAGUAAUCGUGGAUCAGCAUGCCACGGUGAAUACGUUCCCGGGUCUUGUACACACCGCCCGU